UACGGGGGGAGCAAGCGUUGUUCGGAUUUACUGGGCGUAAAGGGCGGGUAGGCGGCCACCGCAAGUCGACUGUGAAAUCUCCGGGCUUAACCCGGAAAGGUCAGCCGAUACUGCGGGGCUAAAGUGCAGAAGGGGCAACUGGAAUUCUCGGUGUAGCGGUGAAAUGCGUAGAUAUCGAGAGGAACACCUGCGGCGAAGGCGGGUUGCUGGGCUGACACUGACGCUGAUGCGCGAAAGCCAGGGGAGCAAACGGG
Molecule: ribosomal RNA, 254 nt
Filed under: uncultured bacterium
Lineage: Bacteria
Description: partial 16S ribosomal RNA
Rfam family: Bacterial small subunit ribosomal RNA
Source: RNAcentral